GGUCAGUAAGGUGAAGGAGUACCAGGUAGUUUAUAUUGAUAUAUAUAUAUUGUGUUGUGUUCCAGCCUGGGUCUGUUGGUCAGUAAGGUGAAGGAGUACCAGGUAGUUUAUAUUGAUAUAUAUAUUGUGUUGUGUUCCAGCCUGGGUCUGUUGGUCAGUAAGGUGAAGGAGUACCAGGUAGUUUAUAUUGAUAUAUAUAUAUUGUGUUGUGUUCCAGCCUGGGUCUGUUGGUCAGUAAGGUGAAGGAGUACCAGGUAGUUUAUAUUGAUAUAUAUAUUGUGUUGUGUUCCAGCCUGGGUCUGUUGGUCAGUAAGGUGAAGGAGUACCAGGUAGUUUAUAUUGAUAUAUAUAUUGUGUUGUGUUCCAGCCUGGGUCUGUUGGUCAGUAAGGUGAAGGAGUACCAGGUAGUUUAUAUUGAUAUAUAUAUAUUGUGUUGUGUUCCAG
RNAcentral lists this long non-coding RNA (444 nucleotides) under Salmo salar (Atlantic salmon). Its description in RNAcentral is "lncRNA (ENSSSAG00000104039.1)". The record is from RNAcentral. Lineage: Eukaryota; Metazoa; Chordata; Actinopteri; Salmoniformes; Salmonidae.